RNAcentral lists this ribosomal RNA (490 nucleotides) under uncultured bacterium. Its description in RNAcentral is "partial 16S ribosomal RNA". It matches the Rfam family "Bacterial small subunit ribosomal RNA", at positions 30 to 507 of the family's 1533-position model. The record is from RNAcentral.
AUUGAACGCUGGCGGCAGGCCUAACACAUGCAAGUCGAACGGUAACAGGAAACAGCUUGCUGUUUCGCUGACGAGAGGGGGACGGGUGAGUAAUGCCCGGGAAACUGCCUGAUGGAGGGGGAUAACUACUGGAAACGGUAGCUACUACCGCAUAACGUCGUAAGACAAAAGAGGGGGAACUUCGGGACUCUUGCCAUCAGAUGUGCCCAGAUGGGAUUAGCUAGUAGGUGGGGUAACGGCUCACCUAGGCGACGAUCCCUAGCUGGGCUGAGAGGAUGACCAGCCACACUAGAACUGAGACACGGUCCAGACUCCUACGGGAGGCAGCAGUGGGGAAUAUUGCACAAUGGGCGCAAGCCAAGUGCAACCAUGCCGCGUAUAUGAAGGAGGCCUUCGGGUUUUAAAGUACUUUCAGCGGGGAGGAAGGGUAUAGAGUUAAUACCUUGGCUCAUUGACGUUACCCGCAGAAGAAGCACCGGCUAACUCCGUG